UACGGGAGGCAGCAGUGGGGAAUAUUGCACAAUGGGCGCAAGCCUGAUGCAGCCAUGCCGCGUGUAUGAAGAAGGCCUUCGGGUUGUAAAGUACUUUCAGUCGUGAGGAAGGUGUUAAGGUUAAUAACCUUAGCAAUUGACGUUAGCGACAGAAGAAGCACCGGCUAACUCCGUGCCAGCAGCCGCGGUAAUACGGAGGGUGCUAGCGUUAAUCAGAAUUACUGGGCGUAAAGAGCACGUAGGUGGUUUUUUUAAGUCAGAUGUGAAAUCCCCGGGCUUAACCUGGGAAUGGCAUUCAAGACUGGUUAGCUAGAGUCUUGUAGAGGGGGUAGAAUUCCAUGUGUAGCGGUGAAAUGCGUAGAGAUGUGGAGGAAUACCGGUGGCGAAGGCGGCCCCUGGGACAAAGACUGACGCUCAUGUGCGAAAGCGUGGGGAGCAAACAGGGAUUAGAUACC
RNAcentral lists this ribosomal RNA (455 nucleotides) under uncultured bacterium. Its description in RNAcentral is "bacterial SSU rRNA". It matches the Rfam family "Bacterial small subunit ribosomal RNA", at positions 340 to 786 of the family's 1533-position model. The record is from RNAcentral.